This 459-nucleotide ribosomal RNA is filed under the name uncultured bacterium. RNAcentral describes it as "partial 16S ribosomal RNA". It matches the Rfam family "Bacterial small subunit ribosomal RNA", at positions 338 to 795 of the family's 1533-position model. The record is from RNAcentral.
CCUACGGGAGGCAGCAGUGAGGAAUAUUGGUCAAUGGGCGGAAGCCUGAACCAGCCAAGUCGCGUGCGGGAUGAAGGUCCUGCGGGUCGUAAACCUCUUUUGUCCGGGGAUAACAACUUGCACUCGUCGCCGUCUGAGGGUACCUUCCGAAUAAGCGUCGGCUAACUCCGUGCCAGCAGCCGCGGUAAUACGGAGGGGCCGAGCGUUAUCCGGAUUUAUUGGGCUGAAAGGGGGCGUAGGCGGGCGGUUAAGUCAGCGGUAAAAUCCCGGGGGUCAACCCCGCCCCGCAGUUGAAACUGGACGCCUUGAGUUGACGACAGGCAGGCGGAAUGCGUGGUGUAGCGGUGAAAUGCAUAGAUAUCACGAAGAACCCCGAUUGCGAAGGCAGCCUGCCGGGGCCACACUGACGCUGAGGCACGAAGGUGCGGGUAUCGAACAGGAUUAGAUACCCCUGUAGUC